This 262-nucleotide ribosomal RNA is filed under the name uncultured bacterium. RNAcentral describes it as "partial 16S ribosomal RNA". The record is from RNAcentral.
CUGCUGCCUUCCGUAGGAGUUUGGGCCGUGUCUCAGUCCCAAUGUGGCCGUCCACCCUCUCAGGCCGGCUACUGAUCGCUGCCUUGGUGGGCCGUUACCCCGCCAACUAGCUAAUCAGACGCGGAUCCAUCGUAUACCACCGGAGUUUUUCACACUGCCCCAUGCGGAGCCGUGCGCUUAUGCGGUAUUAGCACCUAUUUCUAAGUGUUAUCCCCCGGUAUACGGCAGGUUAUCCACGCGUUACUCACCCGUCCGCCACUAA